GCCAUCGACCGGUUCGUUCGGAAG
Molecule: small RNA, 24 nt
Filed under: Arabidopsis thaliana (thale cress)
Lineage: Eukaryota; Viridiplantae; Streptophyta; Magnoliopsida; Brassicales; Brassicaceae
Source: RNAcentral